RNAcentral lists this ribosomal RNA (372 nucleotides) under uncultured organism. Its description in RNAcentral is "partial 16S ribosomal RNA". It matches the Rfam family "Bacterial small subunit ribosomal RNA", at positions 527 to 896 of the family's 1533-position model. The record is from RNAcentral.
GUAGGUGGCAAGCGUUGUCCGGAAUUAUUGGGCGUAAAGCGCGCGCAGGCGGUUCUUUAAGUCUGAUGUGAAAGCCCACGGGCUCAACCGUGGAGGGUCAUUGGAAACUGGAGAACUUGAGUACAGAAGAGGAAAGCGGAGUUCCACGUGUAGCGGUGAAAUGCGUAGGGAUGUGGAGGAACACCAGUGGCGAAGGCGGCUUUCUGGUCUGUAACUGACGCUGAGGCGCGAGAGCGUGGGGAGCAAACAGGAUUAGAUACCCUGGUAGUCCACGCCGUAAACGAUGAGUGCUAAGUGUUAGGGGGUUUCCGCCCCUUAGUGCUGCAGCUAACGCAUUAAGCACUCCGCCUGGGGAGUACGGCCGCAAGGCUG